UACGGAAGGCAGCAGUGGGGAAUAUUGCACAAUGGGCGAAAGCCUGAUGCAGCUAUGCCGCGUGUAUGAAGAAGGCCUUAGGGUUGUAAAGUACUUUCAUCGGGGAGGAAAAAACAAAACUAAUAAUUUUAUUUCUUGACGUUACCCGAAAAAGAAGCACCGGCUAACUCCGUGCCAGCAGCCGCGGUAAUACGGAGGGUGCUAGCGUUAAUCAGAAUUACUGGGCGUAAAGAGCACGUAGAUGGUUUUUUUAAGUCAGAUGUGAAAUCCCUGGGCUUAACCUAGGAACUGCAUUUUGAAACUGAAAUACUAGAGUAUCGUAGAGGGAGGUAGAAUUCUAGGUGUAGCGGUGAAAUGCGUAGAUAUCUGGAGGAAUACCUGUGGCGAAAGCGGGCCUCCUAAACGAAUACUGACACUGAGGUGCGAAAGCGUGGGGAGCAAACAGGGAUUAGAUACC
Molecule: ribosomal RNA, 457 nt
Filed under: uncultured bacterium
Lineage: Bacteria
Description: bacterial SSU rRNA
Rfam family: Bacterial small subunit ribosomal RNA
Source: RNAcentral